AAACCAACAGGGAUUCCCCUAGUAACGGCGAGUGAAGCGGGAACAGCUCAAAUUUGAAAUCUGGCCCUUGGGUCCGAGUUGUAAUUUGCAGAGGAUGCUUUUGGUGCGGUGCCUUCCGAGUUCCCUGGAACGGGACGCCUUAGAGGGUGAGAGCCCCGUACGGUUGGCCACCAAGCCUGUGUAAAGCUCCUUCGACGAGUCGAGUAGUUUGGGAAUGCUGCUCAAAAUGGGAGGUAUAUUUCUUCUAAAGCUAAAUACUGGCCAGAGACCGAUAGCGCACAAGUAGAGUGAUCGAAAGAUGAAAAGCACUUUGAAAAGAGGGUUAAAUAGCACGUGAAAUUGUUGAAAGGGAAGGAUUUAUGACCAGACUUUUUCUGGGGGGAUCAUCCGGUGUUCUCACCGGUGCACUUCCCCCAGUUGAGGCCAGCAUCGGUUUCUGCCGGGGGAUAAAAGCUUCGGGAAUGUGGCUCCCUUCGGGGAGUGUUAUAGCCUGUUGCAUAAUACCCUGGCGGGGACCGAGGUUCGCGCAUUGCAAGGAUGCUGGCGUAAUGGUUAUUAAUCACCCGUCUUGA
Molecule: ribosomal RNA, 572 nt
Filed under: Arthrinium sp.
Lineage: Eukaryota; Fungi; Ascomycota; Sordariomycetes; Amphisphaeriales; Apiosporaceae
Description: eukaryotic LSU rRNA
Rfam family: Eukaryotic large subunit ribosomal RNA
Source: RNAcentral